RNAcentral lists this long non-coding RNA (321 nucleotides) under Nicotiana tabacum (common tobacco). Its description in RNAcentral is "long non-coding RNA (NTAB_LNC007237)". The record is from RNAcentral. Lineage: Eukaryota; Viridiplantae; Streptophyta; Magnoliopsida; Solanales; Solanaceae.
GAUACUUCAACUGUUGUUCUUUGUUCUCCAGGUGGACGCCUGAUUGAUGAUACUUCAACUGUUGUUCCUUGUUCUCCAGGUGGACGCCUGAUUGCUGAUACUUUAAUUGUUGUUCCUUGUUCUCCAGAUGGACGCCUGAUUGUUGAUACUUCAACUGUUGUUCCUUGUUCUCCAGAUGGACGCCUGACUUCAAAAAAAAUAGACAAAAUAAAAGAAAAUUUUCUGCCCCAGUUUGGUAGCUGGGCGCAUCUGUGAGUGUUAAACGGAAUCAUAUUACCAAAUAUUAAUAAGAAUUUGAAAUCUAGGUCCCAUUAUCCAGGG